UACGUAGGGUCCGAGCGUUGUCCGGAAUUACUGGGCGUAAAGAGCUCGUAGGUGGUUUGUCGCGUUGUUCGUGAAAACUCACAGCUCAACUGUGGGCGUGCGGGCGAUACGGGCAGACUAGAGUACUGCAGGGGAGACUGGAAUUCCUGGUGUAGCGGUGGAAUGCGCAGAUAUCAGGAGGAACACCGGUGGCGAAGGCGGGUCUCUGGGCAGUAACUGACGUGGAGGAGCGAAAAGCGUGGGGAGCGAACAGG
Molecule: ribosomal RNA, 254 nt
Filed under: uncultured bacterium
Lineage: Bacteria
Description: partial 16S ribosomal RNA
Rfam family: Bacterial small subunit ribosomal RNA
Source: RNAcentral